Molecule: ribosomal RNA, 404 nt
Filed under: Actinomycetes bacterium
Lineage: Bacteria; Bacillati; Actinomycetota; Actinomycetes
Description: Actinobacteria bacterium partial 16S ribosomal RNA
Rfam family: Bacterial small subunit ribosomal RNA
Source: RNAcentral
UGGGGAAUAUUGGACAAUGGGCGCAAGCCUGAUCCAGCCAUGCCGCGUGAGUGAUGAAGGCCCUAGGGUUGUAAAGCUCUUUCACCGGUGAAGAUAAUGACGGUAACCGGAGAAGAAGCCCCGGCUAACUUCGUGCCAGCAGCCGCGGUAAUACGAAGGGGGCUAGCGUUGUUCGGAUUUACUGGGCGUAAAGCGCACGUAGGCGGACUAUUAAGUCAGGGGUGAAAUCCCGGGGCUCAACCCCGGAACUGCCUUUGAUACUGGUAGUCUUGAGUUCGAGAGAGGUGAGUGGAAUUCCGAGUGUAGAGGUGAAAUUCGUAGAUAUUCGGAGGAACACGAGUGGCGAAGGCGGCUCACUGGCUCGAUACUGACGCUGAGGUGCGAAAGCGUGGGGAGCAAACAGG